Molecule: ribosomal RNA, 482 nt
Filed under: uncultured bacterium
Lineage: Bacteria
Description: partial 16S ribosomal RNA
Rfam family: Bacterial small subunit ribosomal RNA (bases 59-482)
Source: RNAcentral
GGGGGGGGGGGGGGGGGGGGGGGGGGGGGGGGGGGGGGGGGGGGGGGGGGGGGGGGGGGCGGGGGGGUGACGGAGGGGGGAGGGAUGCGUCGGGACGUGGCCGGGGGGGGGGGGUAACGGGGGGAAAGGUGUGCUAAUACCGCAGCCGAUCUGCGGAUGGAAGGAUGGGACCGCCAGGGCUUGGGCGGGAGGGGCGGCCGAUGGCAGAUUGGGGAGGUGGUGGGAUAACAGCGUACCAAGCCGACGAUCUGUAGCUGGUCUGAGAGGAUGAUCAGACACACUGGGACUGAGACACGGCACAGACUCCUACGGGAGGCAGCAGUGGGGAAUUUUGGACAAUGGGCGCAAGCCUGAUCCAGCCAUGCCGCGUGCAGGAUGAAGGCCUUCGGGUUGUAAACUGCUUUUGUACGGAACGAAAAGCCUUCUUUUAAUACAGGAGGGUCAUGACGGUACCGUAAGAAUAAGCACCGGCUAACUACGUG